Molecule: transfer RNA, 74 nt
Filed under: Eucalyptus cloeziana (gympie messmate)
Lineage: Eukaryota; Viridiplantae; Streptophyta; Magnoliopsida; Myrtales; Myrtaceae
Description: partial tRNA-Leu
Rfam family: tRNA
About the family: Transfer RNA (tRNA) molecules are approximately 80 nucleotides in length. Their secondary structure includes four short double-helical elements and three loops (D, anti-codon, and T loops).
Source: RNAcentral
CGAAAUUGGUAGACGCUACGGACUUAAAAUCCGUCGACUUUCAAAAUCGUGAGGGUUCAAGUCCCUCUAUCCCC